CGCGGCCUAUCAGCUUGUUGGUGAGGUAACGGCUCACCAAGGCAUCGACGGGUAGCUGGUCUGAGAGGACGAUCAGCCACACUGGGACUGAGACACGGCCCAGACUCCUGCGGGAGGCAGCAGUGGGGAAUCUUGCGCAAUGGGCGAAAGCCUGACGCAGCAACGCCGCGUGGGGGAUGAAGGCUCUCGGGUUGUAAACCCCUUUCAGCAGGGACGAAAUUGACGGUACCUGCAGAAGAAGCCCCGGCCAACUACGUGCCAGCAGCCGCGGUGACACGUAGGGGGCGAGCGUUGUCCGGAAUUAUUGGGCGUAAAGAGCUCGUAGGCGGUUUAGUAAGUCAGAUGUGAAAGGUUGGGGCUCAACCCUAAGACUGCAUCCGAUACUGCUAUGACUAGAGUCCGGUAGAGGAGUGUGGAAUUCCUGGCGUAGCGGUGAAAUGCGCAGAUAUCAGGAGGAACACCGACGGCGAAGGCAGCACUCUGGGCCGGUACUGACGCUCAGGAGCGAAAGCGUGGGUAGCAAACAGGAUUAGAUACCCUGGUAGUCCACGCCGUAAACGUUGGGCACUAGGUGUGGGGCCUUAUCAACGGGUUCCGUGCCGUAGCUAACGCAUUAAGUGCCCCGCCUGGGGAGUACGG
This 639-nucleotide ribosomal RNA is filed under the name uncultured bacterium. RNAcentral describes it as "bacterial SSU rRNA". It matches the Rfam family "Bacterial small subunit ribosomal RNA", at positions 232 to 885 of the family's 1533-position model. The record is from RNAcentral.